Molecule: ribosomal RNA, 253 nt
Filed under: uncultured bacterium
Lineage: Bacteria
Description: partial 16S ribosomal RNA
Rfam family: Bacterial small subunit ribosomal RNA
Source: RNAcentral
UACGUAGGGCGCAAGCGUUGUCCGGAAUCAUUGGGCGUAAAGGGCGCGUAGGUGGCCCGGUCAGCGUGCGGUGAAAGCUCGGGGCUCAACCCCGAGUCGGCCGUGCGAACUGCUGGGCUGGAGCACUGUAGAGGCAGGCGGAAUUCCCAGUGUAGCGGUGAAAUGCGUAGAUAUUGGGAAGAACACCUGAGGCGAAGGCGGGUUGCUGGGCUGAUACUGACGCUGAGGCGCGAAAGCCAGGGGAGCAAACGGG